GAUGAACGCUGGCGGCGUGCCUAAUACAUGCAAGUCGAGCGAACGGACGAGAAGCUUGCUUUUCUGAUGUUAGCGGCGGACGGGUGAGUAACACGUGGAUAACCUACCUAUAAGACUGGGAUAACUUCGGGAAACCGGAGCUAAUACCGGAUAAUAUUUUGAACCGCAUGGUUCAAAAGUGAAAGACGGUCUUGCUGUCACUUAUAGAUGGAUCCGCGCUGCAUUAGCUAGUUGGUAAGGUAACAGCUUACCAAGGCAACGAUGCAUAGCCGACCUGAGAGGGGGAACGGCCAAACUGGAACUGGGAAACGGUCCAGAAUCCCAAGGGAGGCAGCAGUAGGGAAUCUUCCGCAAUGGGCGAAAGCCUGACGGAGCAACGCCGCGUGAGUGAUGAAGGUCUUCGGAUCGUAAAACUCUGUUAUUAGGGAAGAACAUAUGUGUAAGUAACUGUGCACAUCUUGACGGUACCUAAUCAGAAAGCCACGGCUAACUACGUG
This 497-nucleotide ribosomal RNA is filed under the name uncultured bacterium. RNAcentral describes it as "partial 16S ribosomal RNA". It matches the Rfam family "Bacterial small subunit ribosomal RNA", at positions 28 to 507 of the family's 1533-position model. The record is from RNAcentral.